RNAcentral lists this transfer RNA (85 nucleotides) under Vasconcelosia minhoensis LEGE 07310. RNAcentral describes it as "Phormidium sp. LEGE 07310 tRNA". It matches the Rfam family "tRNA". From Rfam's summary of the family: Transfer RNA (tRNA) molecules are approximately 80 nucleotides in length. Their secondary structure includes four short double-helical elements and three loops (D, anti-codon, and T loops). The record is from Rfam by way of RNAcentral. Lineage: Bacteria; Bacillati; Cyanobacteriota; Cyanophyceae; Nodosilineales; Cymatolegaceae.
GGAGAGGUGGCCGAGCGGUUUAAGGCGCAGCACUGGAAAUGCUGUGUAGGGCAACUUACCGAGGGUUCGAAUCCCUCCCUCUCCG